UUUAAACCCUCCCACCUCCCCGCCUCCCGCGGCCUGUCUGCUGUUGUUGCACGCAGUCGCAACCGGCCGCUUCUCGGCCAUGCAUGUACCGGCGGUCUCGCCAGCACCUGCCCCUAGGAAGCCGGCAGUUCCAGCAGGGGCGGCAACGGGCGGGGGAAGGGCUGUCGCCGCUCUUCACGUCGCCAAGACACACAGGAAGCCGGCUGGGCGUGUGCAGCACGACGGUGCUGCUUGGUUUGGCCGGGUUUGUUUGGUUUUUUCCCCCUGCUCGAAGCUCAUUACGACUUUGUGAAAUGAGACCUGCUUCCAGAGUAAGGUCGCGAUUCUCCUCGCACGUUUCCUCGGGAAUCGAGCUGCACUGGAUACUCAGCGAGAGUUUACUUCUGAGUAUACGUGCCUGGGAUGUGGCUGAGUUGAGCGUUUUGGGAUUACGGUCGUUUAACGCGAUUUUGAGCAUGUUUACUCACAAGUAAGUCUCGCUGGCUGCCUAGGUCUCCGCUAUCAAGUAAGUGUGCGUGCUUGCUUUGUUAAGCAAGUUCUGGGAGCAAAAGAGCAAUCAACACUUUGCUCUAGAAGUGGAAGAAAAGACUCCUCCCCCUCCCUCCCUCGCUUCCAUUUUUCAGCCAUGUUUGCCGUGUCUGCAGAACGUGAGGGAAGGGCUGGAACAGCCUGAGGAGGAGCCCCUUGAAGAAAACUUCUUUGCCCUAGUGACAAAGUGUCAAGGAGGGGAUUGGUCACUAUCUCAUGUCCUGCAUAUAAACUUAUGUCCAUAAUACCCUGAAAGGAAGAAUGGGGCACUGUGCAAGAUGCAAAAUAAUGUCCAGGCUGCCAACACUCAUGGUAACUGUCCGAAACACUAAGAGAAAAAGAAAGGAGAGUUGAAAGAAGAAUCUGCUACAGCCAGUGCUACUCCACCUUCAAGAAACUGUUGGAGAAUUUCUCCUCCCACUGAAGACAUUAGGUGAAAUUAUCAACCCAGCUUCUCUGCUCACACACAAGAGAUUUUCUGGAAGGUCUGAAUACAACUGUAAUGUGAUUCCACUGUUAAUUGGGUCAUACCGACCUGUAAACACAUGGCCAGCGGCACUGAGGACUUGUCUGUUGGCAUCAACCAUUGUUUCUUCUUUCCGACAACCUUUGAAAGCACACCUGAUGCCCUCUCUGAACCUUGGAAAACCUAAUUUGAAUGUCUGUAGCUGCCUCCCGCUUUCCAUCAUAAGACUGUAACCAAAUGUAGGUUUCAUGGCUGGAACAUUACCCCAGUCUUUUCCCCACUUUGUUUACAAUCUUAUACAGAGUUCUGGAGAAUCCAAAGAUUUGCACAGUAUUUUGUGACCUCUGUAAUGUCAUAAUAAAGGUGUGUAUGGUGCUAUGGA
Molecule: long non-coding RNA, 1376 nt
Organism: Varanus komodoensis (Komodo dragon)
Lineage: Eukaryota; Metazoa; Chordata; Lepidosauria; Squamata; Varanidae
Exons: 2
Source: RefSeq, a predicted model, not a curated record